GCCCCUGUAGUGUAGUCCGGCAUUGGGGAUUGCAUCUCCAACGGGAACAAUCAUAAAGCCCUCUCGAGGCUUUGACCCGGGUUCAAAUCCCGGCGGGGGCA
RNAcentral lists this transfer RNA (101 nucleotides) under Candidatus Woesearchaeota archaeon. RNAcentral's name for it is "tRNA-Glu". It matches the Rfam family "tRNA". Rfam says of the family: Transfer RNA (tRNA) molecules are approximately 80 nucleotides in length. Their secondary structure includes four short double-helical elements and three loops (D, anti-codon, and T loops). The record is from RNAcentral. Lineage: Archaea; Nanobdellati; Candidatus Woesearchaeota.